GGGAAACUGCCUGAUGGAGGGGGAUAACUACUGGAAACGGUAGCUAAUACCGCAUAACGUCGCAAGACCAAAGAGGGGGACCUUCGGGCCUCUUGCCAUCGGAUGUGCCCAGAUGGGAUUAGCUAGUAGGUGGGGUAACGGCUCACCUAGGCGACGAUCCCUAGCUGGUCUGAGAGGAUGACCAGCCACACUGGAACUGAGACACGGUCCAGACUCCUACGGGAGGCAGCAGUGGGGAAUAUUGCACAAUGGGCGCAAGCCUGAUGCAGCCAUGCCGCGUGUAUGAAGAAGGCCUUCGGGUUGUAAAGUACUUUCAGCGGGGAGGAAGGGAGUAAAGUUAAUACCUUUGCUCAUUGACGUUACCCGCAGAAGAAGCACCGGCUAACUCCGUGCCAGCAGCCGCGGUAAUACGGAGGGUGCAAGCGUUAAUCGGAAUUACUGGGCGUAAAGCGCACGCAGGCGGUUUGUUAAGUCAGAUGUGAAAUCCCCGGGCUCAACCUGGGAACUGCAUCUGAUACUGGCAAGCUUGAGUCUCGUAGAGGGGGGUAGAAUUCCAGGUGUAGCGGUGAAAUGCGUAGAGAUCUGGAGGAAUACCGGUGGCGAAGGCGGCCCCCUGGACGAAGACUGACGCUCAGG
RNAcentral lists this ribosomal RNA (636 nucleotides) under bacterium endosymbiont of Onthophagus Taurus. Its description in RNAcentral is "bacterial SSU rRNA". It matches the Rfam family "Bacterial small subunit ribosomal RNA", at positions 120 to 751 of the family's 1533-position model. The record is from RNAcentral.